This 897-nucleotide long non-coding RNA is filed under the name Homo sapiens (human). Its description in RNAcentral is "non-protein coding lnc-MED26-4:2". The record is from RNAcentral. Lineage: Eukaryota; Metazoa; Chordata; Mammalia; Primates; Hominidae.
CCCUGGGGCUUCCGCUUCCGGUUCUGACGGACGCUUCGGCCGUAACGAUGAUCGGAGACAUCCUGCUGUUCGGGUAAUUAGGGGGACCAGAGGCUGGGAAGAGAGAGCCAGGCAGGACGCGGGGGCGCCCCUAGUAACUGUAAUUCUCCCUCUGCAGGACGUUGCUGAUGAAUGCCGGGGCGGUGCUGAACUUUAAGCUGAAAAAGAAGGACACGCAGGGCUUUGGGGAGGAGUCCAGGGAGCCCAGCACAGGGUCUGCUUGGCCACUCAGUGCAGCUGCGAUUAACCCUAAAGGCUUUAAGGAACGGGCCACCUGUAACAGAGACACCAGCCUUCCUGUAUAGACACUAAAUUGUUAGCAAGAGUGUUGAGCUAGUUCCUGGUGAAGUGUUUCCACAGAAGACAUGUGGAGCAGUUGUGGGGAUAUUAAGGGAAACUUUCCUCUGCCUUGACCCCUUUGUUAAAUAAAAUGACUUUGGGAGCCAUUCAUUGUACAGUUGCAGGAAUGAGAGUGAUUUUAUGAUGUGGUACAUUGGGACCAUGUUCUAAAACCUUGGGUUUCUGAGUCUGCUUUUUGAGUAGGUGAUUUUGAGGUUGAAAAACCAGGGGCCUUCAUCUAGGAAAUACAGCAUUUUCCAGAAGCUUCUUUGAAAGGGAAUCCUGGUUUUGUUGCCAAAAUGAAACGCCCGGGGUUGGCGCUGAAUCCCACAACUGUGUGAUUUGCUUGUUGAGUUUUUUGUUGUCUGGUUUUUUUGUUUGUUUGUUUAUACCAAUAAGAAUGAGCCUGAAUGUUGGUGGUUUUUGAAAUCCUGACUUGGAGGUAAACCUGGAGGAAGGAAAAAAAGUAAAUAUGCAGGCUUUUAGGACUGAGUAGCCUUGAAAAUAAACCUCAUUUCU